GGAAGUAUAGCUCAAGUGGUAGAGCACCAGCCUUGAACAACAACAAAAAAGGCAAGUGAAAGGUUGAGGUCUUGAGUUCAAACCCCAGUACUUGCA
Molecule: transfer RNA, 96 nt
Filed under: Dipodomys ordii (Ord's kangaroo rat)
Lineage: Eukaryota; Metazoa; Chordata; Mammalia; Rodentia; Heteromyidae
Rfam family: tRNA
About the family: Transfer RNA (tRNA) molecules are approximately 80 nucleotides in length. Their secondary structure includes four short double-helical elements and three loops (D, anti-codon, and T loops). Further hydrogen bonds mediate the characteristic L-shaped molecular structure. tRNAs have two regions of fundamental functional importance: the anti-codon, which is responsible for specific mRNA codon recognition, and the 3' end, to which the tRNAs corresponding amino acid is attached (by aminoacyl-tRNA synthetases). tRNAs cope with the degeneracy of the genetic code in two manners: having more than one tRNA (with a specific anti-codon) for a particular amino acid; and 'wobble' base-pairing, i.e. permitting non-standard base-pairing at the 3rd anti-codon position.
Source: Rfam by way of RNAcentral